RNAcentral lists this small nucleolar RNA (160 nucleotides) under Metschnikowia bicuspidata var. bicuspidata NRRL YB-4993. Lineage: Eukaryota; Fungi; Ascomycota; Pichiomycetes; Serinales; Metschnikowiaceae. The record is from RNAcentral.
UUCACAUAUUUUACUACCCAUCUGGAGUACCAGCAAGACCAAUUCACUUCCCUUUGGUUAAGCAAAAAUGGCCGGAUGCAGAGAAAGUUUUAAUCAUCCACUUUAUAAUCUGAAAGAGAUGGUUUCCGUCGCUCUUUCGGUUCGCUUGCUGGACACAUUU